RNAcentral lists this ribosomal RNA (449 nucleotides) under uncultured bacterium. RNAcentral describes it as "bacterial SSU rRNA". It matches the Rfam family "Bacterial small subunit ribosomal RNA", at positions 335 to 776 of the family's 1533-position model. The record is from RNAcentral.
ACUCCUACGGGAGGCAGCAGUAGGGAAUCUUCCACAAUGGGCGCAAGCCUGAUGGAGCAACACCGCGUGAGUGAAGAAGGGUUUCGGCUCGUAAAGCUCUGUUGUUAAAGAAGAACACGUAUGAGAGUAACUGUCCAUACGUUGACGGUAUUUAACCAGAAAGUCACGGCUAACUACGUGCCAGCAGCCGCGGUAAUACGUAGGUGGCAAGCGUUAUCCGGAUUUAUUGGGCGUAAAGAGAGUGCAGGCGGUUUUCUAAGUCUGAUGUGAAAGCCUUCGGCUUAACCGGAGAAGUGCAUCGGAAACUGGAUAACUUGAGUGCAGAAGAGGGUAGUGGAACUCCAUGUGUAGCGGUGGAAUGCGUAGAUAUAUGGAAGAACACCAGUGGCGAAGGCGGCUACCUGGUCUGCAACUGACGCUGAGACUCGAAAGCAUGGGUAGCGAACAGG